This 69-nucleotide transfer RNA is filed under the name Synbranchus marmoratus (marbled swamp eel). RNAcentral describes it as "tRNA-Gly". It matches the Rfam family "tRNA". Rfam says of the family: Transfer RNA (tRNA) molecules are approximately 80 nucleotides in length. Lineage: Eukaryota; Metazoa; Chordata; Actinopteri; Synbranchiformes; Synbranchidae. The record is from RNAcentral.
ACCUUCCUAUUACAAAUAGUAUAAAUGACUUCCAAUCAUUUGGUUUUGGUUAAACUCCAAAGGAAGAUA